AUACGAAGGGCCCAAGCGUUGCGCAGAAUUACUGGGCUUAAAGGGUGCGUAGGCGGACCCGCAAGUGCUUUGUGAAAUCCCACGGCUCAACCGUGGAAUGGCUUGGCAUACUGCGGGUCUUGAGGUCGGCAGAGGUCGCCGGAACUCUAGGUGUAGCGGUGAAAUGCGUAGAUAUCUAGAGGAACGCCCAUGGCGAAGGCAGGCGGCUGGGCCGAUUCUGACGCUGAGGCACGAAAGCGUGGGUAGCGAACGGGAUUAGAAACCCCAGUAGUCC
RNAcentral lists this ribosomal RNA (274 nucleotides) under uncultured bacterium. RNAcentral's name for it is "partial 16S ribosomal RNA". It matches the Rfam family "Bacterial small subunit ribosomal RNA", at positions 523 to 796 of the family's 1533-position model. The record is from RNAcentral.